GACGAACGCUGGCGGCGUGCCUAAUACAUGCAAGUCGAACGGUGAAGGGGCAGGUUGUUGCUGUGUCUGAGUGAGGGGCGGGCGGGUGAGUAGUAGGUGAGCAACCUGCCAGCGGCUGCUGGCUAAUCGAAUGAAAAGGUGAUACAUACGGAGAGUACUGGUUGCAUGGCAUGGGGGGAGUGGGUACAAUUUCAUCUCUGCGGGGGGGAGGCCCGCUGUCUUUCCGGUUGUGUGUGGGGUGGGGGCCUACAAAGGCGGUGACGGGUAGCCGGCCUGAGAGGGUGGACGGUCACAGUGGGAAUGAGACACGGCCCAGACUCCUACGGGAGGCAGCAGUGGGGAAUAUGGCACAAUGGGCGAAAGCCUGAUGCAGCGACGCCGCGUGAGGGAUGGAGGCCUUCGGGUUGUAAACCUCUUUCGCCAGUGAAGCAGGCCUGUCCCUUGUGUGGGUGGGUUGACGGUAGCUGGAUAAGAAGCGCCGGCUAACUACGUG
Molecule: ribosomal RNA, 493 nt
Filed under: uncultured bacterium
Lineage: Bacteria
Description: partial 16S ribosomal RNA
Rfam family: Bacterial small subunit ribosomal RNA
Source: RNAcentral